This 300-nucleotide unclassified non-coding RNA is filed under the name uncultured Ascomycota. RNAcentral describes it as "sequence contains 5.8S rRNA gene, ITS2". The stretch from base 1 to 71 matches the Rfam family "5.8S ribosomal RNA", at positions 84 to 154 of the family's 154-position model. Lineage: Eukaryota; Fungi; Ascomycota. The record is from RNAcentral.
GUGAAUCAUCGAAUCUUUGAACGCACAUUGCGCCCGCUAGUAUUCUGGCGGGCAUGCCUGUCCGAGCGUCAUUUCAACCCUCGGGAGCCCCUUUGCGGGGGCUGCCGGUGUUGGGGAUCGCCCGCCGCCACGGUGGACGUCCCCUAAAACGAUUGGCGGUCUCGCUGUAGCCUCCUCUGCGCAGUAGCACUUGUUCUCGCAGGCGGAGCGCGGCGCGGCCAAGCCGUUAAACCCCCAACUUUUUUACUAGGUUGACCUCGGAUCAGGUAGGGAUACCCGCUGAACUUAAGCAUAUCAAUA